UGGGGAAUAUUGCGCAAUGGGCGAAAGCCUGAUGCAGCGACGCCGCGUGGGGGAUGAAGGUUUUCGGAUCGUAAACCUCUGUCAGAAGGGAAGAAACCGCACUGUGCUAAUCAGCAGUGCCUUGACGGUACCUUCAAAGGAAGCAACGGCUAACUCCGUGCCAGCAGCCGCGGUAAUACGGAGGGUGCAAGCGUUAAUCGGAAUUACUGGGCGUAAAGCGCACGUAGGCUGCUUUGUAAGUCAGGGGUGAAAUCCCACGGCUCAACCGUGGAACUGCCUUUGAUACUGCUUAGCUUGAAUCCGGGAGAGGGUGGCGGAAUUCCAGGUGUAGGAGUGAAAUCCGUAGAUAUCUGGAGGAACAUCAGUGGCGAAGGCGGCCACCUGGACCGGUAUUGACGCUGAGGUGCGAAAGCGUAGGGAGCAAACAGG
RNAcentral lists this ribosomal RNA (429 nucleotides) under Fusobacteriota bacterium. Its description in RNAcentral is "Fusobacteria bacterium partial 16S ribosomal RNA". It matches the Rfam family "Bacterial small subunit ribosomal RNA", at positions 355 to 776 of the family's 1533-position model. The record is from RNAcentral. Lineage: Bacteria; Fusobacteriati; Fusobacteriota.